Molecule: long non-coding RNA, 480 nt
Organism: Rhinichthys klamathensis goyatoka
Lineage: Eukaryota; Metazoa; Chordata; Actinopteri; Cypriniformes; Leuciscidae
Exons: 3
Source: RefSeq, a predicted model, not a curated record
GUGGCUUUCUGUCUCCGCUCUGCUUCCGUUAUUGUCAUUGGAUGCAGUGGGAAAAAUCCAGCCAAUCCUACUCGGAGGAAACAAAGAUCAGUGUCGCAGAAUGUGUGGUAAAGGUGAAGAGAGUUUGGCUUCACGAGUCAUGGAUCAAAUGAUCUGUUUUAUCUGUCAUGGGCUUGUGGAUGGAUUCACUGAAACUAAUUCGGACUGCAUGCAAAAUGGAUCCUGCCACUUUCAUCAUGGGUGAUAAGGCAUUCUGGCAAUGCAGAGGACUAUCUUUUCAACUGCUGUUUACCAAUAAGUGUCUAAGACGUCUGCAGCUCGCCUUGAUCGGCCCCCACAUUCCUGUGUUCCUUAAGGAGUCCCCUCAAACACGAGGGGUUCUUCUCCUCCACUCCACUCCAUCUCUGCAAUCCAGCCGGCCUCCUACUGCGCUCCUCUAAAGCCUGUCAGAGGGGGGAGUCUCCAGAUGCAUGUGCUUCC